AGCAUCGCAUUUGUAAUGCGAGGGUCAUCGGUUCAAAUCCGAUAGUCGGCU
Molecule: transfer RNA, 51 nt
Filed under: Aegilops comosa
Lineage: Eukaryota; Viridiplantae; Streptophyta; Magnoliopsida; Poales; Poaceae
Description: partial tRNA-Thr
Rfam family: tRNA
About the family: Transfer RNA (tRNA) molecules are approximately 80 nucleotides in length. Their secondary structure includes four short double-helical elements and three loops (D, anti-codon, and T loops).
Source: RNAcentral